AGGGCGAGUUUGCGCACGAGGCUCUGUUUCUCACGCUCAUCACGCCUCUGUAACCUUGGGAAGUGGUCUUUUUUCGUAGACCGUCGCCUUUUGUGGCCCCUCACAAACUCUAGUUCUGCUCAUCUCCCCGCCCUGUUUUUGCCCCCGUGCGGCGCUUCCCCGGAGACAGCAGGGACCCGUUGACACCCGUGCAUUCCGGUCCUCGGUAGGCUCGAGAGUCAGCGGAGCCCGGGUCUGGCUGUUGCCCCUUCUGCCUCCGGUCUGCGAGAUUAUUUCACAGGUUUUUGAUUCAGAGGAUUCGCUUUUAGAAGUGAUUCAGCUAUUAUUUUCCUUAGUCACACACACAUGCAUCAGAGACUCUCUAAGUCUCGAAACUGAAUGACGCCCAAAGAAAGACCAGGAACUUUAUCCCUACAAGGGAUGUCUGUGUGUAUGUUUAAUAAAUUAUGGGCUGGAAUAUUGAUAA
Galeopterus variegatus (Sunda flying lemur) is the source of this 466-nucleotide long non-coding RNA. RefSeq lists it as uncharacterized. The transcript has 2 exons. The record is from RefSeq and is a predicted model, not a curated record. NCBI's taxonomy places the organism in Eukaryota, Metazoa, Chordata, Mammalia, Dermoptera, Cynocephalidae.